This is a non-coding RNA of Notechis scutatus (mainland tiger snake), 379 nucleotides long. The record is from RefSeq and is a predicted model, not a curated record. Lineage: Eukaryota; Metazoa; Chordata; Lepidosauria; Squamata; Elapidae.
GUGGGGAAAUGCAUGGAAGGAAAAAAGUGAAAGACCUCCCUCCUAUUCCGAGGGACACGACAAUGCUGAAAAGGGACACGCCAAUAACCUACUGUCGUCAGCCAUAUCCUGCACGUACCUGAGAAAAGCUUAUUUGGAAAUACCAGCUACUUACAGUAUAGUAUUGCUAAUGCAGGAUGAGCAGUAGGUUCCUGGUGCCUCCAAUUGUGUCUCUUGAUGGGGUGGCACUGCCCUUGAAGGACCAGAUUCUUGUAGAGAAUUGGGGAACUGAUCCUGAAGAUGUAAUACUGUCUGGGGCUGUCAAGAAGAGUCAUUCCCAUCCCAGGUGGUUGGAUGCCAGCAUUACCAUCCAAAUUCAAUUACUCAUCCUGGUUUCAGG